Molecule: ribosomal RNA, 580 nt
Filed under: uncultured rumen bacterium
Lineage: Bacteria
Description: bacterial SSU rRNA
Rfam family: Bacterial small subunit ribosomal RNA
Source: RNAcentral
CGCAUGAGACCACAGUGAGACAUCUCACAGGGGUCAAAGGAGCAAUCCGGUAAGGGGUGGGCUCGCGUCCGAUUAGAUAGUUGGUGAGGUAACGGCCCACCAAGUCGACGAUCGGUAGCCGACCUGAGAGGGUGAUCGGCCACAUUGGGACUGAGACACGGCCCAAACUCCUACGGGAGGCAGCAGUGGGGAAUAUUGGGCAAUGGGGGGAACCCUGACCCAGCAACGCCGCGUGAGGGAAGAAGGUUUUCGGAUCGUAAACCUCUGUCCUUGGUGAAGAGGAAGAGACGGUAGCCAAGGAGGAAGCCCCGGCUAACUACGUGCCAGCAGCCGCGGUAAUACGUAGGGGGCAAGCGUUGUCCGGAAUGAUUGGGCGUAAAGGGCGCGUAGGCGGCCCGGUAAGUCUGAAGUGAAAGUCCUGGUUUUAAGUUGGGAAUUGCUUUGGAUACUGUCGGGCUUGAGUGCAGGAGAGGUAAGUGGAAUUCCCAGUGUAGCGGUGAAAUGCGUAGAGAUUGGGAGGAACACCAGUGGCGAAGGCGACUUACUGGACUGUAACUGACGCUGAGGCGCGAAAGUGUGG